CUGCAGUGGCCUGCUUUCCCCGCCCUGCUCAUCAGUCGGGAAGCCCGGAUUGCGGGCUAGGGGAAGCCACAGCCGCUCCCACCUGGCUCCCACUGCCCCCAGCUCCUGGGCACCUGCUCCAGUCCUGGAGCCUGUUCGGAUCCUCAGCAAAGCCCGAGAAGACCACGUCCUCAUGGGCGAAUAGAGCCAGAUUUCACAUUGAGCAGCUGCAGACGGAGAAAUCAGAGAAAGCACAACCCAGCCCCAGAUUCCGAGGGGCCUGCUGGGGACUCUCCUGCUCGAGAGGGAAGACCCCGAGGCCGGAGUCUCAGGCCAGGUCCUGGCUGCCAUGGGACUCGCAGCUGCUGUCCCCCGGCUGCCCUCCCCGCGGCCAGGCAGAUAAGGGCAGGCACUGCCCCAGGAGCACCUGCUGCCCCCUGCCGGGCUGCUCCUCUGUGGCCAGCCCUUCCCCAGCUUUGGGCCACCUUUGCUGACCCGAGGCCAUGUAGGCCCUACCUGGGCCUUUGUGGAUAGACACACGGCCGGGGACACCGCCUCUGCUCUCUGGGGACACAGCGCACCACCAUGCCCCGGGGAAUCGCCUGGCUGCACUGUGAGUACUGGGGGGGUCCGUGGAGACUGCCCCGGGAAGCCUUGGCCCAGAGCUGGGCUCUGCUGUAACCAUGGCAACCGGGGCCAUUCCUGCUGGUGAGAAGUUGAGAUGCUUCCCAGCCUAAAAGCCUGGGGACUCCCAUAGCUGCCCUCUGCCCUGCCUCUAGCCAACCCCAGCUCAGACCCGCAUGGUGGGUGCAAGUCCUAGGCUGGGUGGGCAUGGUCAGUGGGCGGUCAAGGGGUUGGGGCAAGGGGCAGCACCACCUUCUCAGGCUCACAGGUGCUGGGUGCACGGGGCGGUGGGCAGAGGCGACAGAGAGGAUUUCUGGCUUCCCUGGGUAUGG
This 935-nucleotide long non-coding RNA is filed under the name Ursus americanus (American black bear). RNAcentral describes it as "lncRNA (ENSUAMG00000006779.1)". Lineage: Eukaryota; Metazoa; Chordata; Mammalia; Carnivora; Ursidae. The record is from RNAcentral.